RNAcentral lists this transfer RNA (65 nucleotides) under Geminigera cryophila. It matches the Rfam family "tRNA", at positions 8 to 63 of the family's 71-position model. From Rfam's summary of the family: Transfer RNA (tRNA) molecules are approximately 80 nucleotides in length. Their secondary structure includes four short double-helical elements and three loops (D, anti-codon, and T loops). The record is from RNAcentral. Lineage: Eukaryota; Cryptophyceae; Pyrenomonadales; Geminigeraceae.
GCGUGGCUCAGUUGGUCAGAGUAAGGGAAUGUUAAUCUCUAGGUCGUCGGUUCGAUUCCGUCUAA